AAAUUGAAGAGUUUGAUCAUGGCUCAGAUUGAACGCUGGCGGCAGGCCUAACACAUGCAAGUCGAGCGGUAGCACAGAGAGCUUGCUCUCGGGUGACGAGCGGCGGACGGGUGAGUAAUGUCUGGGAAACUGCCUGAUGGAGGGGGAUAACUACUGGAAACGGUAGCUAAUACCGCAUAACGUCGCAAGACCAAAGUGGGGGACCUUCGGGCCUCAUGCCAUCAGAUGUGCCCAGAUGGGAUUAGCUAGUAGGUGGGGUAACGGCUCACCUAGGCGACGAUCCCUAGCUGGUCUGAGAGGAUGACCAGCCACACUGGAACUGAGACACGGUCCAGACUCCUACGGGAGGCAGCAGUGGGGAAUAUUGCACAAUGGGCGCAAGCCUGAUGCAGCCAUGCCGCGUGUGUGAAGAAGGCCUUCGGGUUGUAAAGCACUUUCAGCGGGGAGGAAGGCGUUAAGGUUAAUAACCUCAUCGAUUGACGUUACCCGCAGAAGAAGCACCGGCUAACUCCGUGCCAGCAGCCGCGGUAAUACGGAGGGUGCAAGCGUU
Molecule: ribosomal RNA, 550 nt
Filed under: Klebsiella pneumoniae
Lineage: Bacteria; Pseudomonadati; Pseudomonadota; Gammaproteobacteria; Enterobacterales; Enterobacteriaceae
Description: bacterial SSU rRNA
Rfam family: Bacterial small subunit ribosomal RNA
Source: RNAcentral